Molecule: ribosomal RNA, 138 nt
Filed under: uncultured eukaryote
Lineage: Eukaryota
Description: partial 18S ribosomal RNA
Rfam family: Eukaryotic small subunit ribosomal RNA
Source: RNAcentral
UGGUGGAGUGAUUUGUCUGGUUAAUUCCGAUAACGAACGAGACCUUAACCUGCUAAAUAGCCAGGCCGGCUUCGGCUGGUCGCCGGCUUCUUAGAGGGACUAUCAGCGUCUAGCUGAUGGAAGCUUGAGGCAAUAACA